Molecule: ribosomal RNA, 752 nt
Filed under: Bacillus sp. K373
Lineage: Bacteria; Bacillati; Bacillota; Bacilli; Caryophanales; Bacillaceae
Description: bacterial SSU rRNA
Rfam family: Bacterial small subunit ribosomal RNA
Source: RNAcentral
UAGUCAUGAGUUUGAUCCUGGCUCAGGAUUAGAUACCCUGGUAGUCAUGAGUUUUUGUUGUGCUACAUGAGCGGCGGACGGUGUGAGUAACACGUGGUUAACCUACCCACAAGAUCGGGAUAACUCCGGGAAACCGGGGCUAAUACCGAAUAAUCCUUUGAACCGCAUGGUUCAGAGGUAAAAGACGGUUUCGGCUGUCACUUGUGGAUGGACCCGCGGCGCAUUAGCUAGUUGGUGAGGUAACGGCUCACCAAGGCGACGAUGCGUAGCCGACCUGAGAGGGUGAUCGGCCACACUGGGACUGAGACACGGCCCAGACUCCUACGGGAGGCAGCAGUAGGGAAUCUUCCGCAAUGGACGAAAGUCUGACGGAGCAACGCCGCGUGAGUGAUGAAGGUUUUCGGAUCGUAAAGCUCUGUUGUUAGGGAAGAACAAGUACCAGAGUAACUGCUGGUACCUUGACGGUACCUAACCAGAAAGCCCCGGCUAACUACGUGCCAGCAGCCGCGGUAAUACGUAGGGGGCAAGCGUUGUCCGGAAUUAUUGGGCGUAAAGCGCGCGCAGGCGGUUCCUUAAGUCUGAUGUGAAAGGCCACGGCUCAACCGUGGAAGGCCAUUGGAAACUGGGGAACUUGAGUGCAGAAGAGGAGAGUGGAAUUCCAAGUGUAUCGGUGCAAUGCGUAGAUUUUUGUAGCCUCGUCAUCGUGAGUUUGAUCCUGGCUCAGGAUUAGAUACCCUGGUAGUCCUGAGUUU